Phyllopteryx taeniolatus (common seadragon) is the source of this 2864-nucleotide long non-coding RNA. RefSeq lists it as uncharacterized. The transcript is spliced from 2 exons. NCBI's taxonomy places the organism in Eukaryota, Metazoa, Chordata, Actinopteri, Syngnathiformes, Syngnathidae. The record is from RefSeq and is a predicted model, not a curated record.
UUUACAGGCAGCCGGACCCAACAGCAGAACACGUCGCCACAUGCCUCUUUGAGGACAUUUUAAACACAGGAUGUCAAAUCGCAAAAUUGCACAUUCUGGUCAAAGUCAAGUGAUUGAAUGUCCAAUAUUCAUAUCUCUCAAAGCAGUAUAAAGAAAUAUGCCAAGAGGAUAACAAUUCUCAAUUUGGACUGACACUGGCACAGAGGUAUUCAUUUAUUUAUUUAUUAAAUAUAGAUGCUAGAAGGGAAAUACAUUUAUGUCAGUUUAUCAUAUUUUAAUCAUGUGCAACCAAUGUACAUGAUCGAAUUCAAUGCUUGUUUCACGGCGUAAAAAAAGGAACAGAAAUGUGUUAUUCUCUCUGCUCCUUUUCCAUUCAAAUGCUGUCGUUUCAUGUAAACAUGUCUUUUUCUUUUAUAUAAUGAAAUGAAUUGGCCAAAUGAAAAAUGAAUUGUAAAACAACAAAAAAAAGUAUACAGUUGGGCAUAAUUGAUGGUAGAGAUAGAGAUGUCAAUGUAGUCUCGCCACGCUGCACUAGUUGCAUAUCUGUUGUUGACCAAUACUGGCCGCUCACGCCACACGGUCGCAUGUGCACCACUUGCACACUGACUGAGGAGUAUCUGCAACAUUUGCACCAUCGCCAUUGUCCCAGACUAUCGCGCUGCUCGUCACUUGAAACUGCAUACGCUCCUUGAGGUCUCGGCGCCCUUUGCGCAAUGGUCAUUGCGACGGACUGUUGCUACAUUAGUCAUUAGUCUUUUUGCAGAAUUGUCCAAAAAAAAAUUCUCAAUGUCUUUAUGGCUCAAAAGUGUUCUCAGUCGACUGUCUGUUGUCAUACUAGACUGACUCCAACUACCGGAGACAAAUCCCUUGCGUGAUUUUUGGACAUACUUGGCAAAUAAAGAUGAUUCCGAUUCUGAUAAAGAUGAUUCUGAUUCAAUCAACCUACCGUGCAUGAUUUUGGGAUGUGGGAGGAAACUCAUAUAUAACUCAUUUCAGCCGCUUGCACCCGCGAUCUUGUUCUUUCUCGUUCUUGUUCUUGGUGAAAAAGCUCCUCGGUGACCUCAACCUCAUUCCUUUAAUAUGUUUUCAUACAAUACUAGUGCUAUUUUUCUUUCUUAAAGAUUUGAAGAAAAUGGUGGUUCUAUUUUGGGAACUGUAACUGAAACGUCAACUGGAACACAUAAGAGGGAGCAUAACACAAGCCAAAGGGAGAAACUCAAUCGUCUCCCCUAGAAACGAGACGGCGGACACCGGAUCGAGAGCUGGACUCCACCCAGCGCAUCCAGUGGCUGCAUGCUGUCAUGUGCCGAGCGCGAUAGAUACCUUUGCACACUAUUCUGUUACCAGCGAUCAUUUAUUCAUUUACAUUUGUUAAUGUCAGCCCCCCCCCCCUCCCCCCCCCCCCAACAUAUAUACGUAUAUUGUACGGGUGUAUCGCAACACAUUGGAAUUGUGGAAAACUUCAUUUAUUUGAAUAUAUUUUCAGUUCAGUUCCAUAAGUGAAGCACGUGUACAGAGAGACCACUGCAAAAUUAUUAGAUUGUCUGAUAUUGCUAUUUCAUUAGCCUAAUAGUUAAUAAUAAUCGCCUACGUCAUUUUUGACUGACUGUCGCAGUGACAAGAUAAAAUAGCAAAGGUCUCGCUAAAAAAAAGUUGUUGUUUUUUUUCUUUGCAUCUGUGCAGAGUGUCAGUUCUCCAGGUCAUGGUAAUUCGAAAAGGUCAAACCGAGGAAAGUGGUGUCUUUUUGACUUUUGGAUUGUAUUCAAACAUGUACAUCGGUCGCACAGGAUUAAAAUGUGGUAAACUAACGUAUAUUAUUUUUUGAUUUGAGAAGAGAAGAAGGGAAAAUGACAUCAGUUUACUACAUUUUAAUCAUGUGCCACCGACGUACAUGAUCAAAUGAAGUACUUUUUUUUUCAGUGUUGGAGGAAAAAGAACAUUUUUGUUUUAUUCUGAUUGACUGAUUUUAUUUUUUCAUCUUUUUUUUUUUUUUUUUUUUUUCCCAAGACAAGACAAAACCAAUUAUUAUAUUAUUCAAGCAUAAACCGAAAAGGUUUAGGCUUUUUAACUUUUUACCUGCCCCUUUCACUAUAUUUAAAAAAAAUAUAUAUAUAUAUUUUUGUAUUGUAUUGACACCAAUGUGUUUAAUGAAUCUAUAUAAUAUAUGAGUUUCACUUUUCUAAUUGAACUAUGAAAUAAACUUUUCGCACCAUCGUCGUAUUUGUAUAGAUUACGCUACUGUUCUGCAGUAAAACUAGUAAAACGAGUGGUACACGGACUCCCUCUAAUGGUACAUGAAAGAAUCACAGCCUAAGUACAAUUCAUUAAAUGUUUAAUAACUGUGACAAUUUAGGUACCAUUUUAAUGUAACUUUUAUGUGUAAUAUUUUUGUAUUGAACCAUUAUCUAAGGACAUUUUUUUAAAUUAUUUUCCUAUAUUUAAGCGCAGUGUUGAUUUUCAAACCGUCCAUAAAGUUACAGUGGCCCUAGAAAUUAAAUACACAGGAGACAUAGUGAGGAGGCUUCAUUUGCAUUUUACCAAACCAACUUGGUGCCUCAGUAAACGUGAAAUAUGAAUUGAAAUCAUCGAGGCAUUCCUGAGUUCUAGAGGUUUUUCUGCCGAGAGGCCUGGAAUCAGGUCAUUUGAAUUUCUCCGCCUACCUCUCCGUUCUGAGCCAGCGCUGUCACAAGAGGGUCUUCUACAUGGAGGCAACCAAUCAGAGGAAAGGGGGGGCGGUUUUCGCCAAAGAUGGACAAAGCGGAUACAAAGCUGGGUCAAACAGAAGUAGCUGUCAGAGGGGCCUUUUCUGAACACUCGUAUGACAAAACCAGUGUGGUUUUUUUUUUCUUUCUUUUUAUGAAAUA